RNAcentral lists this long non-coding RNA (714 nucleotides) under Rattus norvegicus (Norway rat). RNAcentral describes it as "long non-coding RNA NONRATT027965". Lineage: Eukaryota; Metazoa; Chordata; Mammalia; Rodentia; Muridae. The record is from RNAcentral.
UGCACUAUCUCCGGCAAACCGGGGGCAGGGAAGAGAAAGAAAAUUUUCCAAAGCUGGAAAUAUCCUCCGGGCACCGCGGGCAAGAGCACUGCAAUACCUUCCCCGCCGGCUACGACGCCCGCCAGCAGCAAAGGCGCAGCGGCGGCCGGAAACCAGGUCGUCCCCGAACGUGGGCAACGUGAGGCCCGGUCGUGCUGGGCGGGGAGACCGAACCUGCUCCCAUUUUGUCACCAGGCCGAGCUUCCUCCGCGAGGCCGGGGUCCGUGUGCCUCCGCUGUCGCGCAGUACAGACAGGCUAGGCCGCGACUCACGCCCAGGCCCGGCGUGGCCUUCGUAGGCCCGCAGCCUCCACCCCGCGCGCCCCGCGGACCUACCCCCCGGCAAACAGAUGCACCAGCGUGUCCCUCUGGCUCAUUCUCUCUUCUGCAUGUCCUCAGGGAGCAGAGGCGGGACGCGGACCCAGCAGGCCGCCACGGCCAGCGGCGAGGGCCAAGAAGAGGGACGUCGGGGAGUGAGCGGAGCCGCCGCGGCGGAUGGCCACCCGCAAACCCACCCCGCUGGGUUCCUGCUCCAGCGAGCUCCGCCGGACUGCGCAGCGCGAGUCGUGAGGAGUCGGAGGUCCCUACAUAAACAGAAGCUCCUAUUGGGUUAGGCUACGUGACGUCACGAGAUUCGCACGCCCCUUUCACGUGAUCACCGAGGGGGCUCCUCAAU